Dreissena polymorpha is the source of this 3826-nucleotide RNA transcript. RefSeq lists it as uncharacterized. Lineage: Eukaryota; Metazoa; Mollusca; Bivalvia; Myida; Dreissenidae. The record is from RefSeq and is a predicted model, not a curated record. The transcript is spliced from 5 exons.
UCUGGCAGCUGAAGUGAACAGUCAUGAUUUUGUUGGAGCUCCAACAAUAUGCUAGAAGGUAAGUAACUAUGUUUAAUUUGCAUUGCAUGUUUUCCUAUGUUUCAGACUUUUAAACAGAGAUGUCAUGAUGACUGGAGUUGAGCACAGGGCAGUGAUAAAGUAAAAGGUAAGUACUUUUGACUGAAUGUUUGUUCUAUGCAUGUUUUGCUAUAAUACAUUCCAGGAGUGCUUAUGCAGUGAUGAUUUGACAGUUGAGUGAAAGUGGAGCCAUGCAGUCUUGAUUUUGAAGCUUCUCAACAAGCCUUGAAGGUAAGGUUAGAAUGACUCAAUGUUAGUGAAUUAUUUAAAAAAAUAUACUGUCAGUGAAGUACUGUCAGUUGCAUUUGGACAGUUGAGCAGAACAGACGUAGCUGUAAGAGCUCUCAUAUCUGUUGUGUAAAACUGUCCUAAUGAUAUGUUAUGCUUGUUUGUUUCUGUUGUACUAUUUUUCAGAUACGUUUGGCAGUGAAGGAUUGAAAGCUGACAUGAACAGAAAAAAGAUGCUGUUGGCAGUGAUGGGUUUGGAAGCUGGCAUGAACAGAAAAGCAAACAUAUGGUGAGUACAAAAUAGUUUUUAUAUGGUAUGUUUUGUGCAUGCUUCUAUGUUUCAGAUGUACUUGCAGUCAACAACGAAGAUGAUUCAAGAAGAGAAACAUUGUUGUGAUGUGAAUAGAACGUUCAAAUAGGGUAAGUGUAACAAUUGUGGUAGUUUGAUUUGUACCAUGUGUGUAUUGCUAUGUUUCAGAUUGCACAUGCAGAGAUGGUUUCCUACUGGGUGUCAAUAGAAGGGACACGAGUAAAAACGAUUUCAACUGCUAAACCACAAUUCAAGAAGUUGGGUAAGUUUUAAGUCAUUGAUUUGAGGUGUACAAUGUGUUCUUUACUUUGUUGCAGAUUCGAGUCACUGGUUUACACAUGGAAGAAGAUUUCCACCUCUGUGACACAUCUUUACAAAAGCAAGAGGGCCAGAUGUCGAGCAGUACAGAUGUGUUUCUUGGAGGGAGCUCCCAAACCGUGAGUACAAGUAUUUGAUAUUUAGAAGUCUAUGUGAAAGAUAAUAGCAAUGGUAGAAUCUAUCAGUACUUGUGUUUAGAAAUGCUGAUGUGUGACGGUUAACUGAAAAGGGUAAAUGCUAGCCAGUACUUACACCUGAGCAAACGUGGGAUGUCGAACUAACUGAUGAUGUACUAUGAUGGUGAACACUUACUUUGUGUAUCGAAAUGCUUUUGUUGAUAUGAGUGUGAGCUUAAUACAGCAAUGUUUGAGUAAUACAAAAAAUGUAUGUACUCUUUUGUGGUCGCCAGUUGUCUGUGAUAUGUAUAGUAAAAAAAACACAACACAAAGCUAUGAAGCAUACAAUUGUUUUAAGAUUUUAUCAAUGAUUGUGUACUAUGCAUGUUUUGAUUUAGUUCGUUUCAGAUAUGACAUGACCUGAAUAUUUGACAGUCGAACGGAGCUGAGCAUUGCAGAAAAGGUCUCAUAGUAGCCUCAACAGUGAAUAAGGAUAUCAACUGCUGUGACUAAACUGUUGAAGAAGGGUCUCUCAUGCAGUGAGGGAAAAGAAGAAGAUUUCAAUAAAGAAUCACUGCUGCAACUCAGCUCUUUAAACAAGGUAAGUGUUUACUAUGUUGUAUACAAAAUGUUUCUCUUUCUUACUAUGUUUCAGGUUAACAUUGCAGAGAUGUUUUGACAGCUUGUGACAGAAAAGAAAUUCAGCAGCUGUGUCUUGACUGUAGCCACAAGGUAAGUCGAAACAAAUAUACUGGUUUGUAUGUUGUGUUGUUAUGCCCUUCUAUGUUUCAGACUUACAUUGCUGUGACUGUUCCACAGUGGGUCAAAAAAAAGACGAAUACAGGUUUCAAGAAGAAAAUUGGCUGUUAAAACUCUGCACAAAAUAUGAGGUAAGUGAACUACUCUUUUGGUUUGUGUUGUGCUUUGUUCUGCUUAACUAUUUUUCAGAUUUGAGUGGUGGGUCGUUACAGAGCAGACUUUUUGACAAGUGAGAAGUUGAGAAACAGAGAAUGAUUUAAGAUCAGCUAGGUAAGUCUUGAUUAUUAUGCAUUGCUAAAUGUUGUUUUUUAUUUCAGUAUGGCUGUGGUAAGUACACUAACUUUCUAUAAUUUAAUAUUGAACUGCUUUGAUAACUUGUAUCCUGCUAUGCAAUGCUUAAUAUAUAUUUUUCAUUUCAGUAUGGCUGUGGUAAGUACACAAACUUUCUUUAAUUUUCACAUUGAACUGUUUUGAUGACUUGUAUCCUGCUAUGCAAAAUGUCUUUUUUUUAUUUCAGUAGCCUGUUGGUAAGUACGCUAACUUUCUAUAAUUUCAUAGUGAAUUGUUUUGAUGACCUGUAUUCUGCAUUGUAAAAUGUGUUUCUUUUUCAUUUCAGUAUGGCUGUGGUAAGUACAAUUGCCUUUCAUAUUGAACUGUUUUGAUGACCUGUAUUUUGCAUUGUAAAAUGUGUUUCUUUUUCAUUUCAGUAUGGCUGUGGUAAGUACACAAACUUUCUUUAAUUUUCAUAUUGAACUGUUUUGAUGACUUGUAUUCUGCUAUACAAAAUGUGUUUUUAUCAGUUCAGUUGCCUGAUGGUAAGUACAAUUUGCUUCUUUAAAUUGCAUGUUGAAAUAUAUUUGAUGACUUUUGUUCUGCUAUGCUCUUUUUCAUUUCAGUUGGGCAGAUGUAAGUACACUUCAUUUAUGUAAAAACUGAAUAUGAUUGUUGUGCUAUACAAAAUGUGCUUUUCUCAAUUUCGGGUCAGCAAUGGUAAGUAGAUUGUGUUUCUUUAUGUAUAAUUUUGUAUACAUAUUGUUUUUUUCAUCAUAGCAUGUUUUUCAUAUUUAUGCUUUGUGUAAGUAAAAUGUUCAUAAAUCAUUCUUAUCUUAAAACUAAAAAUGUAUUGUGCUAUGCAAAAUGUCUGUAUGAUUUCAGUUGCCAGAGGUGAGUACCAUUACAGUUGAAAAGUUAGUUUUGUUUAGUUCAAGUUUUGGUUCACAGUUCUGUUUGUUAUUUGGCAAAAUUUACAUGUAUGCAUUGAGUCUUGAUUUCAGCUCGAUUGUGGACUGAAGAAGAUUGUCCGCAGAGGGAUUGGAUACAAAAUACAAAGUAAGUACUGAGUUUCUUACUAAAAGUUUUGAGUUGUAUUCAUUGUGUGUUAAUAUGCUAUGAUUGCUAUGAACAUGACUUUUGUAUUUCAGCGAAGACAACAUAGGUAAGUAAAAUUGUUAUCUGUUUCAUGUUUACUGUUACAGUUCAAUAUUGUGUUUAUAAAUUGUAAGUUGUACAAACACAUUCAAAAGUUUCUGAUCAUGCUUUCGAUUUCAUUUCAGCUUUACUGCUGGACGAGUGUUCUCUACUACUAGACGUGUCAGGUUUACUACCAGGCGAGCAGUGACAACAAGGCGCCUUUGUGGAAACAACACAACAAAAAACUGUACUGCUAGACGAGCAGUGACAGAAAGGCGCCUGAACAUGCAACACAAAACAAAAAAUGCCAAUAUCCAAACCUUGAUGUGGACACCGAGUAGUCAAUACAUACGUGUGGCGUAUAGCUGCGACAAAACCGUGGGUCCAUCGCACCGAUAACUUGAACAUUGGCCCGUGUAUGGACAUCAGUGCAACUUUGUGAAUCCAUGUAACUUUGUGAAUCCAUGUAACAUUGCGAAUGUGUGUCGAUCGAAAAAUGUGUACAUUCUGCACUGAAACGAACUCGGUGUUGCAAGUGGCAAGUGUUGACAGUGUGUAUGUUUAUGUUUAUGUUUUUACAUGAAAAAUAAAGGAGAUUGUUGUUUUA